This 254-nucleotide ribosomal RNA is filed under the name uncultured bacterium. RNAcentral describes it as "partial 16S ribosomal RNA". It matches the Rfam family "Bacterial small subunit ribosomal RNA", at positions 524 to 776 of the family's 1533-position model. The record is from RNAcentral.
UACGGGGGGGGCAAGCGUUGUUCGGAAUUACUGGGCGUAAAGGGCGCGUAGGCGGCCAUCUAAGUCGGACGUGAAAUCCCUCGGCUUAACCGAGGAACUGCGUCCGAUACUGGAAGGCUUGAAUCCGGGAGAGGGAUGUGGAAUUCCAGGUGUAGCGGUGAAAUGCGUAGAUAUCAAGAGGAACACCUGAGGUGAAGACGGGUUGCUGGGCCGACACUGACGCUGAGUGCGCGAAAGCCAGGGGAGCAAACGGG